AGAAAAGAGCAUUAUUUCUCACCUUUCAGAACAUGACAGUAGAAAAGAAUGGUGUCUGGGAGGAAUUUUCCUCCAGGAUCUAGCACCAUAACUUGUGACUAUUCCAGAAUACUUGCUCUCUUUCAUCUCUGCACUUGGGCUGAAGAAACAGUCCAGAUGUAAAAAAGACGUGGCUAGUCUUUUGGCAGAGGGAAUAACAAGCAGUUGAAGACCCACAUAAUGGCCCUGAAGCCUCAGUUGGAUGUGGAACAUAUCACUGCCUCUCAUUGUUCUCUGUCCCUAAUAAGUCCUGCAAUGA
This 298-nucleotide long non-coding RNA is filed under the name Oryctolagus cuniculus (rabbit). Its description in RNAcentral is "lncRNA (ENSOCUG00000036936.1)". The record is from RNAcentral. Lineage: Eukaryota; Metazoa; Chordata; Mammalia; Lagomorpha; Leporidae.